UCCUUCGAUGUCGGCUCUUCC
This 21-nucleotide non-coding RNA is filed under the name Arabidopsis thaliana (thale cress). The record is from RNAcentral. Lineage: Eukaryota; Viridiplantae; Streptophyta; Magnoliopsida; Brassicales; Brassicaceae. RNAcentral also lists the same sequence under 2 other names.